CACACAGAGACAAACACCAGCUGAAUGUCCAUGAUGUUCAUUAGAGAUUCCAACAUUAGUCUGUUUUCCACUGCAGGAGCUUUCUGUUCAUUUUGGCUCAUCAUCAAUCUUUGUUCUGACCACAGGAACCGUCCCUGUAGAACCUCUUUCUGGACUGUUUCUAGGAGUUCAAAGUUCCUGCUCCAGGGUUGGAAUUUCUGAGAGAACCUGGAAAACUGCUCUGUAGGUCUUGAUGGUGAGUGAUUAAACUCCGAGGACAAGAAGAACCAUUUUUAUGUCCUCUCCAUCCUCAUCCAGCAUCAGUUGUCUCCAUCAGCAAGCAGGACCUGGUUCUCCUUUAAAAUGAAUAGGAUGAUCCUUAGACCGGUCACUCUGGAAGGACACACAGCUGGAUCUAGGUCCAGGUUCAGGUCCAGAGGACUCUGGUCUCUGAUGGAUUCUGGUAAAUAGAGAGGAAGAUCACCAGGACCUUGUUCUCCUUUAAAGUCAAUAGAUUGAUGCUUAGACCGGUCACUCUUUAAGGACACACAGCUGGAUGGAGGUGGAGGUGGACG
Molecule: long non-coding RNA, 554 nt
Organism: Acanthochromis polyacanthus (spiny chromis)
Lineage: Eukaryota; Metazoa; Chordata; Actinopteri; Pomacentridae
Exons: 3
Source: RefSeq, a predicted model, not a curated record